RNAcentral lists this ribosomal RNA (494 nucleotides) under uncultured bacterium. RNAcentral's name for it is "partial 16S ribosomal RNA". It matches the Rfam family "Bacterial small subunit ribosomal RNA", at positions 28 to 507 of the family's 1533-position model. The record is from RNAcentral.
GACGAACGCUGGCGGCGUGCUUAACACAUGCAAGUCGAACGGUGAAGCGCCUUCCUUUUUGGUGGGUGUGGAUGAGUGGCGAACGGGUGAGUAACACGUGAGUAACCUGCCCCCUUCUUCUGGAUAACCGCAUGAAAGUGUGGCUAAUACGGGUUAUUCUGGGUCUGUCGCAUGAUGGGUCUGGGAAAGAUAUUGUUUCGGUGGGGGAUGGGCUCGCGGCCUAUCAGCUUGUUGGUGGGGUGAUGGCCUACCAAGGCGGUGACGGGUAGCCGGCCUGAGAGGGUGGACGGUCACACUGGGACUGAGACACGGCCCAGACUCCUACGGGAGGCAGCAGUGGGGAAUAUUGCACAAUGGGCGCAAGCCUGAUGCAGCGACGCCGCGGGAGGGAUGGAGGCCUUCGGGUUGUGAACCUCUUUCGCCAGUGAAGCAGGCCUGCCUCGUUUGUGGGUGGGUUGACGGUAGCUGGAUAAGAAGCGCCGGCUAACUACGUG